RNAcentral lists this microRNA precursor (90 nucleotides) under Medicago truncatula (barrel medic). Its description in RNAcentral is "miR2593d stem-loop (mtr-MIR2593d)". The record is from miRBase by way of RNAcentral. Lineage: Eukaryota; Viridiplantae; Streptophyta; Magnoliopsida; Fabales; Fabaceae.
UUUUGACUUUUAGAUUCAUUCAAUCGAUGAUGUAUGUGGUUCAUAUUAUAGAGCACAUACAUCAUUGAUUGAAUGAACCUAAAAAUCAAA